Molecule: ribosomal RNA, 464 nt
Filed under: uncultured bacterium
Lineage: Bacteria
Description: partial 16S ribosomal RNA
Rfam family: Bacterial small subunit ribosomal RNA
Source: RNAcentral
CCUACGGGCGGCAGCAGUGGGGAAUUUUGCACAAUGCUCGCAAGACUGACGCAGCGACGCCGCGUGAAUGACGAAGGCCUUCGGGUCGUAAAGUUCUUUCGACAGGGAGGAAAGUGCAUAUAAGUAACUGUGUAUGUAUUGACGGUACCUGCAUAAGCAGCACCGGCUAACUCCGUGCCAGCAGCCGCGGUAAUACGGAGGGGGCAAGCGUUGUUCGGAGUGACUGGGCGUAAAGAGCACGUAGGCGGUGUGGUAAGUCAUUAGUAAAAGACUAGAGCUCAACUUUAGUAGGCUAGUGAUACUGUAAUACUAGAGUAUCAGAGAGGAUGGCAGAAUUCCUGGUGUAGCGGUGAAAUGCGUAGAUAUCAGGAGGAAUACCGUUAGCGAAGGCGGCAAUCUGGCUGGAAACUGACGCUGAGGUGCGAAAGCGUGGGUAGCAAACAGGAUUAGAUACCCGAGUAGUC